AGGCUGAAACUUCAAGAAAAAACAGUAUCUCUGUGGUCUUGGGUAAACCGUCCUACAGAACUGGAAAGAUUUGUGAACCCACUUUUUGAGGCAAAUAGCCUGGUCAUCUGGCCUUCUGUAGCACCACAAAGCCUACAGCUUUGGGAAGGUGUAUUUCUGCGUUGGAACCGCUCAUCUAAAUACCUUGAUGAAGCCUAUGAAGAAAUGAUCCACAUAAUAGAGCAAAAUAAGGAACUGCAGACCAAGGUUAAUGCACUUCGUAGGCAGCUGGCUGAACUUGAAACAGAGGAUGGCAUCCAUGAGAGUCCAUAGUACAGGGGUAGCAUAUGGGACAUUCCAGGAGCCCUGUUACACUUCAUAUUCUUUUAAGUUCACUGCAACACUAAAGAGUAAUUUCACACACACACAGACACAUUGUGCAUGCACUACAAGAAUUUUUUGUUGAAUUGCAUUCAGCAGAAGUGGGUCAAAAGGUGCAGUAUCUCCUUAAUCAAAUAAAAAAAAUGUAGUAUAGCUGCUUUGCAAUUACAUCUCUUGGAUGUAGCUGCAGUUUAUUCACUACAUUCUCUGUCACUCAGAGAGGAUCAAAAUCUCUAAUUCCAAUUAGUUCUCCAAUGUUUGUGGCUACUGCUUAUUCAGAGUCUUGCUAGACCAAAUACUUUAACGUAAUCAGCCCUUUCAGUAAAAGGAUUUUUUUGUCUGUUGGACAUUCUUUUUUAUGAUAACAUUUAAAAAGAUGGCUUAGUCUGGUGUAUUUUCUGGAGACAAAGUAUUUCAGAGGCUAUUGAUUAGCACUGGCAUCAAUCCAACUUUCCUACUUGGUAAAUGGGGUCAGGGUGUUUCAUCAGCAGUGACUAUUGCCUUGAGCCAAGUUUCACACCACUGGGUUGCUAGUAUUAUCGUUUUGUAUUAUCUGUCUCAGUUGCUUAAUUAAUGCAUUUUCCCUGAAUUUUGAUAUUAAGUUGAAGCUCACAUCUCCAUUUCAUUUGAUAGCCCCACUAGAAGUCUUAAACCUGACUCAGGUAGUCUUUUUACAUUUUUUUCUCCUUCCAUUGCAUACCUCCUAGCUGGCCAUCCUCUGCUUUCUGCUACUAUUGCUCCUAACUUUAGUGUCCCCAGUAGUACUCCCUUGUGGCCAGGACCUUAGCCAUAGAAAGUUUGGGAAGGAAAUUAUAGAGUAGGUCCUUCAAAUAUGCGGUCUUUUACACACAGGAUUGUUUGGAACACCCCAAACUGGAGGGAGGAGCUGCUCAUGUUAUACACACCAACUCAGUUGACAUCAGUCAAUGUCAACCAUACCCUCUAAUGCUGAAUUUAAUGGUCAUGUGUCUUGCAGUCGCAGCAUGCCUCACCACUGGUGAACUGCUACAUUGCAGACAGAAGAACCACCCUGCUCCCAGCAACCCAACUGCUCUUGAGUCAGACUGAUCCCAUUUAGAGUGCCAUCCCUCUGUGCAAUGGAGCCAGGCUGACUCAAUAUUCAUAUUGUUCAGAAUGAUAGCUUGAAUUCCCUGAAGCUCCAGGUUGAAUUUUACAGUUUUCUACUUUUCUCCUUGAGUACAGUUUUGACAGAUAUUUGAUUAGACAUUAUCCUUGUUGCUGUAUUGUUAUUACCUGCUUUAGUUCAGUAACCAAAGAUUUCAUUGUAAAUGUUUUACUAUCUUUUAUAGGUGAUGGCACUAGACUGAUGGUCCCCCUGACACAGAUUACAUGAGAUUAUGGAGGAUAGUUUCACCUAAAUGAUUUCCAUGCAUAUUGUAUAAUUUACUAGAUGUUGAACAAACUAAAAUGUCUGUGACCUUUGCAAGAACUUUUAACUGUCUGCCAAAAGUAAAAGGCUAAAAACCUUGGAGGUGAGUUCCCUUAAAGGAAGAUGUAAACAGUUGCAGUUAAGCAGCCUAAAGUUAAGCCAGACUUAUACAUGAGAUAGAGGGGUCACAGAUAUCUAAAACUGCACCUUGCCCUGUUGUAAACUCUAGAGAUAAAAGAAAAGAAAAAGAAAACAAAAGAGCAAAAAUAAAAAAAAGUAUAAAAUAGAAAAACCUUAACAUGUAUAAAAACAUUAAACAGGUAGAGGUCACUACACUGAAAAUUGUCUUGGUGGCCAUUAAAGGUGGAUAACCUUAGUAUGUUCCUGAUUAUAGAACAGAGUUUGUUGUAGCAUAGUGGGCACCAGCAAAGGCCACACAUCUAGUGGAAUUCUGACAUGGGAAUCGGGGUAAUUUCUGCUUUUCCUGCCUUUUCAUUCUGAAAUGUCUGUCAGUGCAGAAACUUCUGGCACUUAACUCUCUGCUCUCAUAAUGAAGAGGCAGUAAAUGAAGGAUUUUGAGUAAGAAGAGAAGAGGUGUAAUUGCAUAGUUUCCUUCCAUUUUAUAGACUUUGUAAGAGUUGGUCAGCCACAUCCAUAGGUAAACCAUCCCAUUCUUUCUCAUAUCAUAGACAUUGUGUAAGAUACUUCUUAGCAUGUAUACUUUCAGACACCAACAAUGAGUUAACCAGAUACAUUAUAUGGAGCCCACAGUGAUCACCUACAGUUGUUCAGUAUUUAUGUGGUCGAUUUGAUUGCAGUUCAUACAAAAGACCUUUUUCAUUGGGCAUUGUAUCAUCACAUAGAGAAGCUCCAGUCUUAGUUUUGUUAAGAACAUUUCUAGAUCUUCUGCUUCUAGAAUGGACUGAAGACAUUCUAUAGCUAAAGACUCUCCCUGAGAAUAGGCACACCCCAGUUGAAUCCUGAAAUCCUGUUUGGAGAUGAACGUAAACAAAAUUGGACUUGAUAUUUUUCACACGCCAACAGUGACUUAUGCUACAAAUGUUGCUUCAAAAAAAAAAAAAAAAAGGCCCUACUUUAGGAAAUACCAAUGGGGGGGGGGCAUUCCAGACAGUCCUCAGCAAGUUUAAAUAAACUGUUUUAUAAAAAAAAACAAAAAUUAUUAUUUGGGGGGCAUUUUCUAGUUCCCUAACAACCCUUUUAUUCUUCACAGGUUUCAGCUGUUUCCUCUGUAGGCCAGCAAAUUUCACUUUUCUCCAUCUGAUUAAAAUUACUUGUAAGUGACGGCUAGAUGUAAGAAGUAAAUGCUGUAGGAAUUAAUUAGAGCUUGCAAAUGCACUGUAUUUGCAAACUAUGCCAAAAAUCCUCAGAUUUGUCUUUCUUUGACCUGCAGGCAAGUUCAAAAGUUAUUGCAAAGAUAUUUAACCAUUUCCUUUCUUGCAAUAAGUGUUAUGUAUUAUGCUGUUCUCUUACCAAAACAGGACUUGUUCAGGUCAAUCUGGGGUUCAGUGAACCUAAAGAGCUUUGUAAAGGUAUGGAAAUUCACUUUUGUCGCUAACUGCUUUGGUAGCCGAAUAGCAGCAGUGGAUAUGAGUUGUUAUGACACAGUAGUGUAGCAGCUGCGUCUGUAAUUUUCAGAGUGCAUGGUGCCACUGUUGGCUUAUAUCAAAUCAGAAGGAAUUCACAUUUUCCUUACGUGGACAACUGCCUGCUGAGGUCAGAAUCUGUUGAGCAGCUGAGGUUCAAAUGGCUCAGAAGUUGGAAAUUACUGAAAACUGGUAAAUUUCAAAUGAUCUCAUCCCAGUCUGGUUUGCUUCUAGGCACAAGUCGUGGGUACUGUACAACAAAAAAUUAUUUUUGUCUCAGGAAAGUGGGGAAAUUAAAUAACUAUUUCUUUUGAGACUUCAAACAUAAGGACCAGACCCACUACCGGGCAGUUUCUCUCUGUUUUGGGAUACUUGACCUUUUGUAUAGUCUUGGUUCCACACACCAUAUCUCAUUUAAGAAGGAUCCAUUGAAACCUUAGAUUCAUGUAGGACCAAACCUUUCAAGAUUUUAAGCACAUUCUUCCAUUAAUUAAUGAAAAUUUGCUAGACCUAAAUCAACUAGUAUUCCAACUGUCCCAUCUUGCUUAAAAGGAGGUGAAUCUUCCUGCCACUUCUGUCACGUUAAGUUACCACAGGAGACUCAAAUUAUGGUUGGGAAGCUGACAUUCAGUUUAAGGCAGGUGUAGUCUCAACUGAACUCACAGAACAUCGACAUUGAGGAGAUGUGGAUGAUUUGGUAGCCUCAGAAACCUUUAUUGUCCUUAUAGAAAGGCAAAGUAUUUUCCCAGGCAGUACCACAGUCAUGUUAAGAUGGAAAAUACAGACAGUAGAAAAGUGAAACUCUCUCUAAAGCAACAGAGAUGCAAGAGACCUUCAGAACCCACCUCUAGGUAUUACCUGAAAUUCAGGAUUUCUUACUUCAGUAAACUGGAAGUGUUUCUCAUCCAUAUUCAUGCUGUCAUAUUUACAGCCUGGAUAAUCGCCUUCUGAACCAUUAUGACUUUUUUUUUUUUUUUAAAGGGUUGUUGCAAAGAAAGCCUAACUCCAGAAAAUGUUAUAGGGGCAGGAACCACAAAUGUAUCUGUGGAACUGCUCAGUAUAUUCUGAAUAUCUUUUCUUUUGGCUAGCCCUCUUCCACGUUUGGAGUGCAUUUUCUGUAUGAUCCAGCCUAAAUUACUUGUCCAUAAAAAUACUUGCGACAGCAUUGUCAUCAUCCAUGGUCAUCACCACUGGCUUCUACAAUGAAAAUGGUAUUUCCUUAAAGGAAUUAUCUGUCUGAUACCUUUAGGAGGGACAUUGUACCUUUCUGGCAAUUGUGCCUUGUUGGACAAAUGUGCUGUAUAAUGUUUUGAAGCCAUACAAUACACUAACCUGUACCCUGAAAGGCUUUCUUAGGUUGACAUCACACCUGCCAGAGAAAUAGGUUCAUAGGUUUAUAGAUUAGUACUACGCUAACUGCCCUUGCAAGCCAUUUUUUUAAGCCUAGCCAAUUAUCCCUUGUGAGACACAAACCCUGUACCUUGUGUUUGUAAGGCAAACACCGUAAUCAUCAGGCCACCCACCCAACCCCUUUUUUAAGAGUUGCAGGCCCUUUAUUGGUACAUAGCCAUACUUGGUCUUCUUCAAGGUCCAGGAUAAUUUGAGGACUUGCCAUUCUUUUAUCCCCACAGUGGUUGUAAUUUUCGGGAAGAGAGGGUUUUAUGUAUGUUUGGUGUGCACAUGCAGCAUACAUAUUAUACGGACAACACUGCCUCUUUCAAGAAAAGAGCAUUUGGGUAUUUUUAUUCACUGGGGAAAACGUAAAAAACAGUUAAAUCUAUCAUAAUCAUUUGACUAGAAAAUUGUAUUUCUUGUUGCUAAAAUCAAUGUGAGGAAACUCUGCAAAUUAUACCAAGGGUUCACUAGACCAAGUUAGCAUCUACCUCAGAGGCAUUUUUGAAGUGUUUCUACACUGAAUACAAGUGAAGUUGCUACUUGGCAGAUUAACUGCUCAUUUAUUAAGCACUACAAGUUGAAAUUUCCCGUCUGAAAGAAAGACGGGAUUUUGCAGAACUAUCCAGAGGCCACUUUAAGAUAAAGGGAGCAUUAAACAUUAUUUACCAGUAUUAUAAAAGUACAUGUGCUGUGAACAAUUCAGUGAUUUUCAAGACAGCCUAGUGCACUCAAAUAUUCUUUCAGAGUGCAUUUACACUCCACAACUCCAAGUUCAGUGGACUUUGAGAGAACAUGUGUGGUUACUGUCAAGCAUGGGAUCUGUUAAACCCUUAGCAUUUGAUAAAUUCAAGUCUACUUUCUCCUGCAUGCCUUUUUUUGCACAAGUUUGCAUGAGUUUUUUUCUGCUUUCUACAGCUGUUUAGAAAUGAAAAACUAUUCACUCAUUGCUUUUUUUAAGUGAAGGGGAUACUGUACCUUUCACAAAUACCUCUCUUUCGAAUAAUGAACUACGUUUUGACUAAUCUGAAUGUACACUUGGGCUCUUAAGUAUACUGCUGUCUUUGCAUUGCUGUACAUAUUGAAUGACUGCUUCAUUAAACCAGACCGAUCAUCUCUUUUACUAAGCCUAAUGAGAUUUGCAGACGUCAUGAGCAGACAAGAUCAAUGUACAUUCCUUUGUAUGUAUAUAAUGAAAAUUUACAUUAUUGUAUGACUUGUGAUUUGUUUUAUGCGUCUUGAUGUAUUGUAUGUCGUGCAAUAUCCACACAUUUGUUUACUUGCAGUUCAUUAAGAAACUACUAUGAAGAAAUGAAACUUCCAUUGUUAAUAAUCUUUGCAAAUCUGCUGGACAUUUUUCCAGCAAAACUGGUGCUCCAAGAUGGUGCACAAGAACCAGUGUAUACUGCACUGUUAAUCACUCUUAGGUUUUAAAUAAUCCUAUUGUCCUCUUUUUUGAAUCUGUAUCAGUGUCAUUUGUAUCACUAUUUAGGAAUCACUUGAUCAUGUUACAUACUGCAUGGUUUAUGUGAUCUUUUCUGACAUUAAUAAUAUUGUGCAUUAAUUCAAGUAACAAAGCAAGCCUCCUGUGUAAUUGUAGUUUUGAGCACAAAUCACAUUUUUGAGUAAGAUGACUGUACUACAGAGAUAUUUAGAUCAUCAAAUGUUUGUUGUAAAACUACUGCCUCACUGCAGUCAGUGACUGAGCAAAACAUAGUCACUGCAUCAGUUAAGUAAGUGCUAUUUUUGAUUUGUUUUUCUUUUUUAAAUAAAUGCAGCCGGAGUGUCAUUUUCAAAAGCAGUAUAUCUUAGUGGCUAAGAUGGUGAAGUCAAAUGUUUCAAUGUUAUCAGCCCUUACUUGUAUACUGUAUGACCCUAAUUUAAGUACUUCUGGUGUCUCUAGGUCACUCCUGAAGUUGGGACCUUUCAUCUCAUUAUUUCUACUCAGAUAGCAUUAUUUGAUUUCAUUCUUACAUUUUUAUACAUGAUAGCAGUACUAAAUCAUUUAUAUACUCACAAGGUGAUAAUUUUAUCAGUACAAAAUGUAAAACAGUGUAAGCAUAGUUUAAACCUGAAAAUUAUAUUGUUUGGAUUUCCAAUGUUUUUUUUAAAUUAAACCACCCCUCAGAAUUCUGUCCCAUUGUAAUUGCAUUUACCUCAGAUGUCAAAAUUACCUUAUUUAGAAUUUUGCUGAACUUAUAGUGGCACCUUUCCUUCUGUAGCUGAACCUUUGUCUUUUUAUCCCGUCUUUAAACUCUCUAGAAACCUCAUUAUGUUAGCUGCUUGCACAGGAAAGAGCAAAUGUGUAGACCUUGCUAAGUCACUUUGACUUUCUCAUUGUAUGUGCCACUGAAAUUGGAUUAUUGACUGUUACAGGGAGGCAAAGCUGUCUAGCAUCAGCCCUUGUGCGAAGCAUUGCAGUAAAGAUUGUGCUCCGCAGGCACUGUGAAGAAAGACUGGGCAAACACUGGUUCUGCAGAUGUCUGUAUGGAACAUUUAUUGGGGAAAAACAGUGUUAAGUGUUUUAAGAACUGUUGUGUUUUGAAUAAAGCCCGGAAUGAAGUCUUGUUCCUUUUGCAAUGAA
Molecule: long non-coding RNA, 7330 nt
Organism: Protopterus annectens (West African lungfish)
Lineage: Eukaryota; Metazoa; Chordata; Ceratodontiformes; Protopteridae
Exons: 2
Source: RefSeq, a predicted model, not a curated record